This 415-nucleotide ribosomal RNA is filed under the name uncultured bacterium. Its description in RNAcentral is "bacterial SSU rRNA". It matches the Rfam family "Bacterial small subunit ribosomal RNA", at positions 355 to 786 of the family's 1533-position model. The record is from RNAcentral.
UGGGGAAUAUUGGACAAUGGGGGCAACCCUGAUCCAGCAAUGCCGCGUGAGUGAUGAAGGCCUUCGGGUUGUAAAGCUCUUUUGGCGGGGACGAUGAUGACGGUACCCGCAGAAUAAGCCCCGGCUAACUUCGUGCCAGCAGCCGCGGUAAUACGAAGGGGGCUAGCGUUGUUCGGAAUUACUGGGCGUAAAGGGCGCGUAGGCGGCUCUGAUCGUCGGAUGUGAAAGGCCUGGGCUCAACCUGGGAACUGCAUCCGAUACGGCGGGGCUGGAGUGUGGGAGAGGUUGGUGGAAUUCCCAGUGUAGAGGUGAAAAUUCGUAGAUAUUGGGAAGAACACCGGUGGCGAAGGCGGCCAACUGGACCACAACUGACGCUGAGGCGCGAAAGCGUGGGGAGCAAACAGGAUUAGAUACC